Molecule: long non-coding RNA, 2629 nt
Organism: Homo sapiens (human)
Lineage: Eukaryota; Metazoa; Chordata; Mammalia; Primates; Hominidae
Product: long intergenic non-protein coding RNA 1270
Source: Ensembl
AGAACUCGGGUAUUAAUGACCCGGAGCCACAUGACGGAGCAUGACACAGCACUUUUGGGCACAAGGCAGGGCCCAGAGGGGUGCGUGGGGGCCGCAGCCCAGCCCCCAAGCCCCGCCAGCGGCUUUACUGGGGUGUAACAAACACACGAUAAACUGCGCAUAUUCCAGUGUUCAUGUGGAUGAGUUUGGACAUAUGCACACACUUCCGAAACCACCAGCACAAUCAAGACAGCAGACAUAUCCAUCGCCCCCAAGGGUGUCCUUGUGUCUUUUUGUCAUUCAUCCCUCCCGGCCGCCCCAUCCACACUCCCAUCGCCUGCCGACUGUGGCUGAUCUGCUUUCUGCGGCUGUGGAUUAGUUUGCGUUCUCUACAAUUUUCUGAAGCACCAGUUAGCCCAGAUGCUUCUCAUCUUUGGAGUUGAGCUGCAGGCUGGAGACCUGGAAGGCCCUCGCAGCGCCUGCUCCCAUCCUCUCACCUCACGAAAGCGCAGGAAUGUGGGUUUGGAGCCAAUGAAAAGUACUGGAAUCUGGCUCUGCUCUGUGACCCUGGACAAGUCACUGCCCCUCUCUGGGCUUCAGUUUCCUCCUUGGUAACACAGAAUGAUUAUACCUACCCCUUGGGUUUGUUGACCUGAAUCUACCCCUCAGUCAUUGCCUUUCCUUCUUGCUGCAGCCACACUGGCCCCUUGACAGUUCCUUGAACACAACAAGCCCUUUCCCACCUCAGGGCCUUUGCAUGUGCAGUGCCAGAUGCCUGGAAUGUCCUUCCUUCCAAUCUCCCCAUGGCCGGCUCAUUCUCAUCUUUCUUGGCUCAAAUGUUACCUCCCCAACCUAGACAGCACCGCUGCCACCUCUUCACCCCGUCUUACUCUUCUUCAAGCACUUCUGGAGGUAUCUUGCUAUUUAUCUUGUUUAUAUCUUUUUCAGCUCCAUGAGGGCAGGGGAUUUUGUCUGUUUCAUUCACAAUGUGUUCCCAGAGCUCAGCACAGUGUCAGGCACACACUAGGUAACAGCACCUCGACUUCCUACUGAAGAACCCCCUCUUCCCUUUUCUCAGUCCAUGAGGCUGGGGGUGCCCAGAGGCCUCUGUCUCCAGGGGUGGACAUGUGACCGGGUCUUGCUCUAGUGAUUGGUCCAGGGAUGGGCACAUGACUGAGCCUGCCCAAUGAAACUUGAUCUUGGGACUUCAGGGUUGGCCAUGAUUUGUGAAGGAGAUGCCAUUUUCCAUUGGAUGGACAGUGAGCAAGUGAACGCUUAGAGAAGAAGAGGACAAAACAAGGGAAAAGCCUGCCUGACAGGAAGCAGCACAGAGCUGGACAGGCUUUGAACUCCUGGAUCCCACUGUACCUGAAAUUAGGCACCUUCAACUUUCUAGUUAUGUGAGCCACUGUCUUUCCCAUUUUUGGCUGAAAACAGUUGGGACUGGCUUUCUGUCCCUUGCAUACAGAAGGUGCUGACUGACCCCUGCCCCAUGGAAGAAGAUACUCCAGGCAGAGGAAAUAGUGUGUAUAGACACCCCUAAGCGAAUGCCAAGCGGGGCACUCAUGUACCAAGAAGAAGGAGGAGGAGGCACCUGGGAGCUGAGCUUAAGAGUUAGUCGGGUGGUCAAGGUGGGAGAAGGGGGUAUCUUUAGCAGAGGGAACAACCAUUGCAAAAGCUUGGAGGGGUGACUAGUUAGUGAAGAUCAACUGUGUGCUGAGCUCGUGUUGGGUGGCAAGGGACACAGACGAAAAGGGCACGGUGGAACCCAGCUACUUCUCACCUGCUCCAGCGCAGUGCAGGCUUGUCUGCUUUUGGAGCCGAGCCUGGACACCUCCGUGUCCUUCCCCCGGCAGAGUGCUGCCAGCACGCUGUCUCAGACUCUCCAGCAUCUCCUGGUUGAUGUGCAUCAUGGGGACCACACAAGAUUAUUUUAUAGGCUGCACAGGCAAAGCAUAAAAUCACCUCGGGUCACAUAGCGAGAGUUAUUCUCUCUGCAAAUUCUUUACAGUCUUUCCUUUAUAUCCAGAAGAGUCUCUGUGUGGUGCUAACUUGCCUCGAAGACCAAAUAAUUGCUAGUCUCCCUUUGUGAAAAGGAGAGCAGGUGUCAGGCUCAUUCAUGUCUCAGGCACACAAUUGUAUCUAGCUAGACUUUUCAAAAUGUCCUAUAGAGCUGCAGCACAUAUGAAUGAGGUGUCCAGCUGGUCCCAAACCUGUAAUCGGCACCCCAGUGAGCAGACUGGACAUCCCCACCCCCACAGCUGCCCUUUCUCCCCUCCACUCAUGUUCCCUCUAGGGCCACCACGAUCCCGACUUGUAUCACCACAGAUGAGUUUCACAUGUUUUUGAAUUUUACAUCUUAUCUGUUUUCUGUUCCUAUACAAGUUUGCCUUUUUUGAAUUCCAUAUAAGUGGGAUUCUACAAUGUGUUAUCUCAAUUUGAGUCUGUUUUUUUUUUCCUGCUCAGCAUGAUGUUUUUGAGAUGCAUAUAUGCGGUUUUGUGUAUCUGUAGAUGGUUCUUUUUUAUUGCAGAAUAAUGUUCCAGGGUAUGGAUGUACCAAAGCUUGUUCAUCCAUUCACCAGCUGAGGGAUAUUUGGACUGUUUCCAGUUUUCAGCCAUUAUAAAUAAAGCCACUAGAAACAUUUGCAAA